This 514-nucleotide ribosomal RNA is filed under the name uncultured bacterium. RNAcentral describes it as "partial 16S ribosomal RNA". It matches the Rfam family "Bacterial small subunit ribosomal RNA", at positions 28 to 523 of the family's 1533-position model. The record is from RNAcentral.
GACGAACGCUGGCGGCGUGCCUAACACAUGCAAGUCGAACGGAGAUUGCAUUUAUGUAAUCUUAGUGGCGAACGGGUGAGUAACGCGUAGACAACCUACCGCUUAGAUGGGGACAACACUGGGAAACUAGUGCUAAUACCGAAUGUUGUAUUGAAGCUGCAUGGUUUUGAUACUAAAGAUGGCCUCUGAAUAUGCUAUCGCGAAGUGAUGGGUCUGCGUCUGAUUAGCUAGUUGGUGAGGUAAUGGCUCACCAAGGCGACGAUCAGUAGCCGGUCUGAGAGGAUGAACGGCCACACUGGGACUGAGACACGGCCCAGACUCCUACGGGAGGCAGCAGUGGGGAAUCUUCCGCAAUGGACGAAAGUCUGACGGAGCAACGCCGCGUGGGUGAAGAAGGUUUUCGGAUCGUAAAGCUCUGUUUUCAGGGACGAAUGUGCAGAUUGUAAAUAAUGAUUUGUAAUGACGGUACCUGAGUAGAAAGCCACGGCUAACUACGUGCCAGCAGCCGCAGUAA